GCUACCAGGACCAAGGUCAGCAGCAGGCGCGAAAAUUAUCGAAGCCCGCCUAGGGGCGAUAGUGAGGAGACGUGUAUAACGAAGUACGUGUAAAGCACGCACUAAUAACUGGAGGUCAAGUCUGGUGCCAGCAUCCGCGGUAAUUCCAGCUCCAGGGGUGUCUAUGAUGAUUGCUGCGAUUAAAAAGUCCGUAGUCAAACUGACUGACUGACCUGCAAUGUGAUUGAUUAAAGAACGAGCAGGGUUAGGAAAGCAGAGAAUUAGGAGCGACCGAGGGCUAGAGUAUUGAAUGGCGAGAGGUGAAAUUUGAUGACCCAUUCAGGAGUGACAAAGGCGAAGGCACUAGUCAAGGGCGAAUCCGAUGAUCAAGGACGUAGGCUAGAGUUUCGAAAACGAUUAGAGACCGGAGUAGUUCUAGCAGUAAACUAUGCCGACGCCGUGAUAUUGUUUUUUGUGGCAGUAUUGCGGAAGAGAAAUCAAGUAAGGCUUUGGGGAGAGUACGCGCGCAAGCGAUAAAUUUAAAGGAAAUGACGGAGGAACACCACAA
RNAcentral lists this ribosomal RNA (547 nucleotides) under Dictyocoela sp. 31. Its description in RNAcentral is "partial small subunit ribosomal RNA". It matches the Rfam family "Microsporidia small subunit ribosomal RNA", at positions 265 to 806 of the family's 1311-position model. The record is from RNAcentral. Lineage: Eukaryota; Fungi; Microsporidia.